UGUAGUACUUUCAAAUGUUAUGAGCCAAAUAGCUUAUUAAUUAGAGAAUUUAAAAAAAAAUGAAGGUGCUUUCUGUAUUCCUAAUUUCUCUCUGUGCUUUCCACAUAUUGUUCUCUACUACUCUUAUGGUUUCAGAAGCAAGACCCUUGCCACUUAACUUAGAGAAAUGGAGCAAUUGGUUAAUGGAAAUAAAGAUAGAGCCUGUGGUGGGAAAAUUGUUGCGUCCAUCACCAUCUCGUUCACCUCCUUCCCCAAAUCCUAACCCACCAAAAGGACCAGGAGGAGUUUCAUCAUUAUCUCAUAACACUGCCUCAGCUUAAUUAAUUAUUAAGCAAUAUUAUCAUGAAUAUUCAUAAUUAAGUGCUUAUGUAUUAUUUUUCUUUUAUAACUAGUCAAAGGUUUCAUCAGUAAUAAAAAAAAAAGGAUAAUUUAUUAGUUGUUUUUAAUUAUAAUUAAGUAUGUAAUUCUAGCUUAGCUAGCUAGGAUUUUAAGAUGCAGGUACUUAGUUAAUGUGUUUAGAUUAACGUUUAUAAAUAAAUGUUAGUAUGAAUGUAUUUUUGUAAAAUUAAUUUUGAUUAAAAUUAGAUUAAUGUACUUAAUUAGUUGGUUGGUUAUAUUGUA
Molecule: long non-coding RNA, 621 nt
Organism: Arachis ipaensis
Lineage: Eukaryota; Viridiplantae; Streptophyta; Magnoliopsida; Fabales; Fabaceae
Source: RefSeq, a predicted model, not a curated record